GCCCUGGUGGUCUAGUGGUUAGGAUUCGGUGCUCUCACUGCUGUGGCCCAGGUUCAUUUCCUGGUCAAGGAA
RNAcentral lists this transfer RNA (72 nucleotides) under Equus caballus (horse). It matches the Rfam family "tRNA". Rfam says of the family: Transfer RNA (tRNA) molecules are approximately 80 nucleotides in length. Their secondary structure includes four short double-helical elements and three loops (D, anti-codon, and T loops). The record is from Rfam by way of RNAcentral. Lineage: Eukaryota; Metazoa; Chordata; Mammalia; Perissodactyla; Equidae.